GAUGAACGCUGGCGGCGUGCCUAAUACAUGCAAGUCGAGCGAACAGACGAGGAGCUUGCUCCUCUGACGUUAGCGGCGGACGGGUGAGUAACACGUGGAUAACCUACCUAUAAGACUGGGAUAACUUCGGGAAACCGGAGCUAAUACCGGAUAAUAUAUUGAACCGCAUGGUUCAAUAGUGAAAGACGGUUUUGCUGUCACUUAUAGAUGGAUCCGCGCCGCAUUAGCUAGUUGGUAAGGUAACGGCUUACCAAGGCAACGAUGCGUAGCCGACCUGAGAGGGUGUUCGGCCACACUGGACCUGAGACACGGUCCAGACUCCUACGGGAGGCAGCAGGAGGAAAUCUGCCGCAAUGGGCGAAAGCUUGACGGAGCAACGCCGCGUGAGUGAUGAAGGUCUGCGGAUCGUAAAACUCUGUUAUUAGGGAAGAACAAAUGUGUAAGUAACUAUGCACGUCUUGACGGUACCUAAUCAGAAAGCCACGGCUAACUACGG
This 496-nucleotide ribosomal RNA is filed under the name uncultured bacterium. RNAcentral describes it as "partial 16S ribosomal RNA". It matches the Rfam family "Bacterial small subunit ribosomal RNA", at positions 28 to 506 of the family's 1533-position model. The record is from RNAcentral.